This 253-nucleotide ribosomal RNA is filed under the name uncultured bacterium. RNAcentral's name for it is "partial 16S ribosomal RNA". It matches the Rfam family "Bacterial small subunit ribosomal RNA", at positions 524 to 776 of the family's 1533-position model. The record is from RNAcentral.
UACGUAGGGGGCAAGCGUUGUCCGGAUUUAUUGGGCGUAAAGAGCGUGUAGGCGGCCAGGUAGGUCGGUUGUGAAAACUCGAGGCUCAACCUCGAGAUGUCGACCGAAACCAUCUGGCUAGAGUCCGGAAGAGGAGAAUGGAAUUCCCGGUGUAGCGGUGAAAUGCGCAGAUAUCGGGAAGAACACCCGUGGCGAAGGCGGUUCUCUGGGACGGUACUGACGCUGAGGAGCGAAAGCGUGGGGAGCGAACAGG